CGGGAACGGCAAUCGAGGUGCUGCAUGGCUGUCGUCAGCUCGUGUCGUGAGAUGUUGGGUUAAGUCCCGCAACGAGCGCAACCCUUGUCCUGUGUUUGCUAAUCUUCGGAUGCACUCUCAGGAGACCGCCAGCGACAAGCUGGAGGAAGGUGGGGAUGACGUCAAGUCAGCAUGGCCUUUAUGUCCAGGGCUACACACGUGCUACAAUGGGCAGGACAAACCGUUGCGAACCCGCGAGGGGGAGCUAAUCGGAGAAACCUGUUCUCAGUUCGGAUUGCAGGCUGCAACUCGCCUGCAUGAAGCUGGAAUCGCUAGUAAUGGUAGAUCAGCAUGCUACCGUGAAUACGUUCCCGGGCCUU
RNAcentral lists this ribosomal RNA (359 nucleotides) under uncultured Acidobacteriaceae bacterium. RNAcentral describes it as "bacterial SSU rRNA". It matches the Rfam family "Bacterial small subunit ribosomal RNA", at positions 1021 to 1382 of the family's 1533-position model. Lineage: Bacteria; Pseudomonadati; Acidobacteriota; Terriglobia; Terriglobales; Acidobacteriaceae. The record is from RNAcentral.